RNAcentral lists this ribosomal RNA (274 nucleotides) under uncultured bacterium. Its description in RNAcentral is "partial 16S ribosomal RNA". It matches the Rfam family "Bacterial small subunit ribosomal RNA", at positions 523 to 796 of the family's 1533-position model. The record is from RNAcentral.
AUACGGAGGGUGCAAGCGUUAUUCGGAAUCACUGGGCGUAAAGGACGCGUAGGCGGGUUGGCAAGUCAGAUGUGAAAUCCUACAGCUUAACUGUAGAACUGCAUUUGAAACUGCUAACCUAGAGUAUGGGAGGGGGAGAUGGAAUUAGUGGUGUAGGGGUAAAAUCCGUAGAUAUCACUAGGAAUACCGAAAGCGAAGGCCAUCUCCUGGAACAUAACUGACGCUAAGGCGUGAAAGCGUGGGGAGCAAACAGGAUUAGAAACCCUAGUAGUCC